RNAcentral lists this ribosomal RNA (464 nucleotides) under uncultured bacterium. Its description in RNAcentral is "partial 16S ribosomal RNA". It matches the Rfam family "Bacterial small subunit ribosomal RNA", at positions 338 to 795 of the family's 1533-position model. The record is from RNAcentral.
CCUACGGGCGGCAGCAGUGGGGAAUCUUCCGCAAUGGGCGAAAGCCUGACGGAGCAACGCCGCGUGAUCGAAUGAAGGCCUUCGGGUUGUAAAGAUCUGUUGACAGGGACGAAUAAGCAAUGCGAAUAGUUUUGUGUAUGACGGUACCUGUUUAGAAAGCUCCGGCUAACUACGUGCCAGCAGCCGCGGUAAUACGUAGGGGGCAAGCGUUAUCCGGAUUUACUGGGUGUAAAGGGGGCGCAGACGGCGAUGCAAGCCAGGAGUGAAAGCCCGGGGCCCAACCCCGGGACUGCUCUUGGAACUGCGUGGCUGGAGUGCAGGAGGGGCAGGCGGAAUUCCUGGUGUAGCGGUGAAAUGCGUAGAUAUCAGGAGGAACACCGGUGGCGAAGGCGGCCUGCUGGACUGCAACUGACGUUGAGGCCCGAAAGCGUGGGGAGCAAACAGGAUUAGAUACCCCUGUAGUC